Long non-coding RNA from Mastomys coucha (southern multimammate mouse), 382 nucleotides. RefSeq lists it as uncharacterized. Lineage: Eukaryota; Metazoa; Chordata; Mammalia; Rodentia; Muridae. The record is from RefSeq and is a predicted model, not a curated record. The transcript is spliced from 2 exons.
UGUCAGCAAAGCAGCAUCAGAGUCCAAGCCAGGAAGCCUGAAGUUCAAGGCAGGGCUUCUGUCCAAGCAGGGACGUGUGAGCGAAUGGUAGAAGUGGGCUGAAGGGAUGACCGAAUCUCAGACAAAAGUGACAUGCCACACAUCAACUGUUCCUCUCCAAUGCCUUGGAAGCCCAAAGGUCUACCUGUCUCCUGGUCCAGAGCCAUGGUAUUAAAAGCCAGCUGCGUUUAAGAAUGAAGAAGCAGCUCUUCUGAUCCAAAAUCACAUAGAAUGUCUCGUGGAGGACUUUUUUUUUUUCUGAGAUAUGACUCAGAGGGAUUCUCAGUAAACUACAAACUUUUCUAGGUUGUUUUAUAAUAAAGAUAGAAAAUCAUUAGUCAGC